Chenopodium quinoa (quinoa) is the source of this 654-nucleotide long non-coding RNA. RefSeq lists it as uncharacterized. The transcript has 3 exons. NCBI's taxonomy places the organism in Eukaryota, Viridiplantae, Streptophyta, Magnoliopsida, Caryophyllales, Amaranthaceae. The record is from RefSeq and is a predicted model, not a curated record.
UAGGGUUUAGGGUUUAGGGUUUCUGUAACUUAUGAGUUUAAGCGUCGAACAUUUUGCUUCCUUCAUUUAACUUCCCUUGAAUAUACUUUUCUUUACGAGUUGGUUCUCACUAUAUAUGUGUUUCAGGCUAAGAAAUGAGUGUCAAGGGCUUCUAGGUUAAGAUCAUCAGUUUGGAGAGUGGGCGGAAAGCAUCUUGGCUAUAUUGAAAAAGAUUCAGAGGAAUUUUUGGGCGAAGCAUUGACCUUGGCAUUGACCUUCUAUUUGAGAGUGUUGAGACUUUAUAGGUACUCAGGUUUUACAUCUCAUGGCGGAUGAUCACUACCGUAUUGGAGUGGAGGAUGUAGAGGAUGAUGAUGAUGAUUCAUUUGGGGAUGGGGACGAGUUAUAUGAUGUGAACAAGGAGCCUGAUUUGGGUGAGGUAGAAGAUCAGGCUCAAGAUGUUUUGGAUCGUAUGCUUGAUGAGUUUUAAUUUGUAGCUGAACAAGUGCCUCCUAUCGGGAAUGCAAUGUCUGAGUCGUUCGGCGAGGAUCAAAGUGGAGGGAGGGUGAAGGGACCAGCGCAGAAAAAGCUGAGGGGUCCGACUACAAGUUUCAAGAAACCUGUCGGUCCAAUGGUCUUGGAGUAUGACAGGGUAGGACAACCUACAGGCAAAUG